Aspergillus transmontanensis is the source of this 127-nucleotide non-coding RNA. The record is from the annotation of a GenBank genome assembly. Lineage: Eukaryota; Fungi; Ascomycota; Eurotiomycetes; Eurotiales; Aspergillaceae.
GGGCCUCUGGCGCAACGGUAGCGCGUUGUAAGUUCCCACUUUAAUCCAAGCCAAGUCUUGAAUUCUUCUAACAAAUUCACAGCGACUCCAGAUCGAAAGGUUAUCCGUUCAAAUCGGGUGGGGCUCA